AGAGUUUGAUCCUGGCUCAGGACGAACGCUGGCGGCGUGCUUAACACAUGCAAGUCGAACGAGAAGACAUGAGAAGCUUGCUUCUUAUCGAUUCUAGUGGCAAACGGGUGAGUAACGCGUAAGCAACCUGCCCUUCAGAUGGGGACAACAGCUGGAAACGGCUGCUAAUACCGAAUACGUUCUUUCCGCCGCAUGACGGAAUGAAGAAAGGGAGGCCUUCGGGCUUUCGCUGGAGGAGGGGCUUGCGUCUGAUUAGCUAGUUGGAGGGGUAACGGCCCACCAAGGCGACGAUCAGUAGCCGGUCUGAGAGGAUGAACGGCCACAUUGGGACUGAGACACGGCCCAGACUCCUACGGGAGGCAGCAGUGGGGAAUCUUCCGCAAUGGACGAAAGUCUGACGGAGCAACGCCGCGUGAACGAUGACGGCCUUCGGGUUGUAAAGUUCUGUUAUAUGGGACGAACAGGACAUCGGUUAAUACCCGGUGUCUUUGACGGUACCGUAAGAGAAAGCCACGGCUAACUACGUGCCAGCAGCCGCGGU
This 541-nucleotide ribosomal RNA is filed under the name uncultured bacterium. RNAcentral describes it as "bacterial SSU rRNA". It matches the Rfam family "Bacterial small subunit ribosomal RNA", at positions 8 to 521 of the family's 1533-position model. The record is from RNAcentral.